Sus scrofa (pig) is the source of this 74-nucleotide non-coding RNA. The record is from Rfam. NCBI's taxonomy places the organism in Eukaryota, Metazoa, Chordata, Mammalia, Artiodactyla, Suidae.
UCCUUGGUGGCUCAAUGGGUUAAGGAUCUGGCAUUGUCGCUGCUGUGGCGCAGGUUCGAUUCCUGGCCCAGGAA